Molecule: ribosomal RNA, 253 nt
Filed under: uncultured bacterium
Lineage: Bacteria
Description: partial 16S ribosomal RNA
Rfam family: Bacterial small subunit ribosomal RNA
Source: RNAcentral
UACGUAGGGGGCAAGCGUUGUCCGGAAUCAUUGGGCGUAAAGAGCGUGUAGGCGGCCCGAUAAGUCCGCCGUGAAAGUCCAGGGCUCAACCCUGGAAUGCCGGUGGAAACUGUCGGGCUGGAGUCCGGAAGAGGCGAGUGGAAUUCCUGGUGUAGCGGUGGAAUGCGCAGAUAUCAGGAGGAACACCGAUGGCGAAGGCAGCUCGCUGGGACGGUACUGACGCUGAGGCGCGAAAGCGUGGGGAGCGAACAGG